RNAcentral lists this long non-coding RNA (381 nucleotides) under Manihot esculenta (cassava). RNAcentral describes it as "long non-coding RNA (MESC_LNC012341)". The record is from RNAcentral. Lineage: Eukaryota; Viridiplantae; Streptophyta; Magnoliopsida; Malpighiales; Euphorbiaceae.
GUUUCGGAGGUAGAUUGAGAUCAAAAUCAAGAGAUCUCCGUGGCGGAUUGAUCUCACGUUGGUUCAAAUCAAUGACGGAGGAUGAGUCUGAAUCACUCUGGACCCUCCACCAACGCCAUUUCCAGCAGUUGACAUCGUCUGAUGAUGAAGAUGUUGUUGUUGGUGAUGAUCAAAUAAUCGUCUCUGAUACUAAUACUAACUCUUCAUCAUCGCAUCGAAAUAAAGCAUGUGUUGAUGAUUCACCAUCGCAAAAUAGAAACUCUUUCGCAAAGUAAAAGCUUUCCAGCAGAAACUGUUGACAUUGAAGGUUGAGGUAGAGAGGAGCCUUGAAAAUGUGGGAUAUGUAAAGGAAGUUAGAGAAACGAAGAGAAAAGAAGAGAG